RNAcentral lists this non-coding RNA (109 nucleotides) under Streptomyces sp. F-3. Its description in RNAcentral is "Streptomyces RNA 4115". It matches the Rfam family "Streptomyces RNA 4115". Rfam says of the family: Identified by deep sequencing of transcriptome at the end of exponential growth phase. Sequencing size consistent with notrthern blot size. The record is from Rfam by way of RNAcentral. Lineage: Bacteria; Bacillati; Actinomycetota; Actinomycetes; Kitasatosporales; Streptomycetaceae.
GCGUGGGUCGGCCCGCUGUACUGGAUCCAGUGGGCUGGGGGACACCGCCGCCUCCAUCCCCGCGGGCGGCGGGACGGUCCGGGAGGCGGACUCCGCCUCCCGGACCGUC